UGCCAGCAGCCGCGGUAAUACGGAGGGUACGAGCGUUAAUCGGUGUUAUUAGGCGUAAAGAGUACGUAGGUUAAAAUUUAAAGAAAAAAUUAAAUAGCAAAGCAUAACUUUGGAAAUGUUUUUUCUGAAAAAUUUAUAGAGUUUAAUAGAAAAUAGUGGAAUUGCUAAUGUAAAGUUAAAAUUUAAAGAUAUUAGCAGGAAUAUCAAAAGCGAAGGCACCUAUUUAAAUUAAAACUGACACUGAGGUACGAAAGUAUAGGUAGCAAACAGGAUUAGAUA
RNAcentral lists this ribosomal RNA (279 nucleotides) under uncultured bacterium. RNAcentral describes it as "partial 16S ribosomal RNA". It matches the Rfam family "Bacterial small subunit ribosomal RNA", at positions 506 to 784 of the family's 1533-position model. The record is from RNAcentral.